CCUACGGGAGGCAGCAGUAGGGAAUAUUGGUCAAUGGAUGGAAGUCUGAACCAGCCAUGCCGCGUGCAGGAAGAAGGCCUUCUGGGUUGUAAACUGCUUUUGCCAGGGGAUAAAAUGGCUAUGCGUAGCUAAUUGAAGGUACCUGGUGAAUAAGCCACGGCUAACUACGUGCCAGCAGCCGCGGUAAUACGUAGGUGGCAAGCGUUGUCCGGAUUUAUUGGGUUUAAAGGGUGCGUAGGCGGCUUUGUAAGUCAGUGGUGAAAUAUCGCAGCUUAACUGUGAGGGUGCCAUUGAUACUGCAGAGCUUGAGUACAGAUGAGGUAGGCGGAAUUGACGGUGUAGCGGUGAAAUGCUUAGAUAUCGUCAAGAACACCUAUAGCGAAGGCAGCUUACUAGGCUGUAACUGACGCUGAGGCACGAAAGUGUGGGGAUCAAACAGGAUUAGAUACCCUGGUAGUCCACACUGUAAACGUUGAUUACUCGCUGUGUGCGAUAUACAGUACGCGGCCAAGCGAAAGCGAUAAGUAGUCCACCUGGGGAGUACGCCGGCAACGGUGAAACUCAAAGGAAUUGACGG
This 577-nucleotide ribosomal RNA is filed under the name uncultured bacterium. RNAcentral describes it as "bacterial SSU rRNA". It matches the Rfam family "Bacterial small subunit ribosomal RNA", at positions 338 to 916 of the family's 1533-position model. The record is from RNAcentral.